GAUGAACGCUGGCGGCGUGCCUAAUACAUGCAAGUCGAGCGAACGGACGAGAAGCUUGCUUCUCUGAUGUUAGCGGCGGACGGGUGAGUAACACGUGGAUAACCUACCUAUAAGACUGGGAUAACUUCGGGAAACCGGAGCUAAUACCGGAUAAUAUUUUGAACCGCAUGGUUCAAAAGUGAAAGACGGUCUUGCUGUCACUUAUAGAUGGAUCCGCGCUGCAUUAGCUAGUUGGUAAGGUAACGGCUUACCAAGGCAACGAUGCAUAGCCGACCUGAGGGGGUGAUUGGCCACACUGGAACUGAGACACGGUCCAGACUCCUACGGGAGGCAGCAGUAGGGAAUCUUCCGCAAUGGGCGAAAGCCUGACGGAGCAACGCCGCGUGAGUGAUGAAGGUCUUCGGAUCGUAAAACUCUGUUAUUAGGGAAGAACAUAUGUGUAAGUAACUGUGCACAUCUUGACGGUACCUAAUCAGAAAGCCACGGCUAACUACGUG
Molecule: ribosomal RNA, 497 nt
Filed under: uncultured bacterium
Lineage: Bacteria
Description: partial 16S ribosomal RNA
Rfam family: Bacterial small subunit ribosomal RNA
Source: RNAcentral